CGGCACCUGCCCGGGCGCUGCCCCCUGCGGCCCGGCGCGCAGCCCUCCUGCUGCCGAGCCGCAGGAACCGCUCGCCCGUGCUGCUCCUCCUCUCCCGCCGCGCAGCCCUGCGGAAGGGCAUGCGGUAUUGCUUCCUCACCGCACUCCUGUUUGGCUGAGAAAAAAAACUGCAGCACUUGUCAUCUCAGAGUCCUGUUAGUCCUUCAGUACUCCUCGGAGGUCAGUCGACUUAAGCCAGGAAUUCCUGUACUGGCGUUUCUGGCGGAUCCGUACACAUAACAUCUGCUGUCAGUCACCGCAGGCUGGAAAUCAGCAGCACAGAGGCCAAGAAAAAUUGCUACUACUCCACUUAAGCUCUCCUAUAAUUGUUUGUAAAACAUUUUAUCCCCAGAAAAAGCAUCGCGAUGCACGAAAGCAUUGGUAGUGAAGUAAAUACUCGCUACGUUCAGAGAUCAAGAGGUUCUGCCCCUUCCUGACACUGGGAAUACCAUCUCUGUACCUUUAUUUGUCCCUUCCCCUCUUGGCUUUGCAUAUAGACAAUUGUCAGUUCUUUGGGAAUAUGGAGCAGCUCUCACAUGACAAGAAGUGCGAUACAAGCAAUGUUGUUGCACGGUGUCCUUCAUGUUUCCCAACCAAGUAUUAAUUAAAGCAGUACACACAUAAACCUGGAACAGGGAAUUGCCUUUCUUUUAAUUGAUAUUUUUUAUAAAUCUUUAAUUCCAGACAAACUGGCAGCAUUUCACAAACCACAGUCUGAAUCUUGUCAAGUGGUGAGAACUCUAAUCUUGAUCCAGAAAACAGUUAUGCACAUGCCCAGCUCCAAGCAUAUGGAAGUCUUACUGAUUUGUGGGCUUGAGAUUCCUAUCCUUCCAGCAAAGAGAGCUGCAAAGAACACGCUUCGCUACAAAAGGACGCAGGAAGGAUCGACACUGGUUAAAUACUCUGAAUGAAAGAUACCAGAAAGUCCACAGGAUUUUUUAGCUGUCCUUUGAAAGGCUCUGAUUAUACAGCAUGUUCAACUCAGCUCUUCUAGACAGGCUGAACUAUUGCUUAGACUGUACAGCCUGCGAAGCGAAGCCAGAGUGGAUGUAACUGUUGUGUGUCAAUACAUCAACAGGUGGGGCAAAGAACUCUGAGAGAUAAGGGAUGGUUUAAGUAUAGGGGCAAACUAGCUAUAAAUAAGCAGCAGAAAAUGACUAUACCUAUCAUAAAGGGAGGACCUGGAAGAGCCUCCCUAUGGGAACCCCAGAGACAAAACCAAACAAAGCAGACUUUGUCAGGCGUUGCAUGGUGUGAUGUAUGAAACAGCAGAGGAACGAAUUUGGUGACUCAGCCCAAUUUCCCUCGCAGGAAUGCCUCACUGCAGCAGUUAGACUCUUGAACUUUUUUCACAGAACCUGAGACUAGAAAAGACAAAUAAUACCUGACACCCAUAAAGAGAAGGACAAGAGUGGGACCCUACCUGAAGCCUUGGACAAAGAGUCAAGAGGAUCCUGCUUUACCAAGAUACAAGACAAGCUGUCCUGCUUGCCAAAGCCAGGCUUUCACAUCAUUCUGAGCUCACAGCACCAGUGUCAUUGCUUCAAUAAUGAAGUGACCUUCAAAGCCUUGAGAAAAAAGCAUACAUCAGUGCACGAAAGCUGAUUAAAAGACUAGUUUCAAGAGUGCAGUGGGUGAGGGAUUGAUUAGUCCCUCAGACACCAAUUUCCCUUUAACAGUUAAGGAAAGGCAUUCCAAAACCAAUCUAUCCUAGAGCAGCUUGGGACAGAGAGGGAUACUGUUGCCCAGAUGUUCAGUAAUAGGUGUCAAAGAGAUGUCUGCAGGCACUCAAAUACCAUGGCCAUGAAUUUAACAUAAACAAACAAACAAACAAACAAACAAAAAAAAAAAAACCCAAAAAAACCAAACAACAAAAAAAAACAAAAACCAAGUUGCAUGAUUUUACCCAGGAUGGUCAGAGUAGUUUUCAGCUCCAGUCCUUCCGAGUCCAUCCCUGUGCUGGUCAGCAGUGAGGUCAAUCAGGUCCCUUCUUUGGAGUGCUUUGGCUCAUCCACUGAGGAGUGUUUGCAAUCCUGUACAGGAAACAGCAAUAACCUGUUGGUGGAGAUCACGCUGCUGUUUGUGGAUUUCUCUGUAGUUCUGGCUGUACUUACCUCCGUGGCUGAACAGUGAAUAUUUCUGAACUGUCAAAAGCUGGAUGGUGUCUGCAAUGAUACGUUUUUGUUCUAUAUGAAAGUUGUGGGAGUUCAUUUAUUAGAAGAAAGGUGCCCCAGGAAAGCCAAGCCGUGCUAAUCACAGUCUUGCAAUGCUGCAGAUGGGGAUUAAAAUCCACUACACAAACACAUCAGAAACCACACUUCUUGUGCAUACAGUGAGAGAACACACCUAGUUCUCUCCUUAAUGGCUCACACAGCUUCCUGAAAACAGAUCAACAACACAUCUCUGAAAGCAAUAAGGAGCCAUGCAGCCAUAUCUGACUCAUUCCAUUUGAUAAAAUAAAUUAACAAGCUAGAGAAAAAAGGAAAAUGUGAUACUUUUCCAAACCCAGCUGGGUUAGGGAAGAAAGUUGCACAGAACUGUUCAGAGCAGAGCAACACACCUUCCCUUGACUUCCUAGGACUUGCACCCUUUCCUUGGGAUCCACAGGCUCACAAGCCUUACAGGGCUCAGCAAGCUUAUCUUCCCCUGCCAUCACAGAUGCUUAAAAGGGAUUUCAGGAGCAGAGGUCGGAUGCCAGGCUCAGUCCUGCUAAAUACAUUUCUGCCUGGAGUGGGAGGCAAAGGAAUGGGCAGACCCCCAGCUCAAGUGCUCCCAGGGCUGAGAUGCAAUCAUAGCCACAGCUGAACACUCAGCCCCUCUGUCCCCCUUUUGAUUUCUUAUUUUAAUAGGCAGUUAACUUUGUCUACAUUUAAAAUAUCAGCACAGGGCAUCUGAGUUGGCAGGCACUGAGGUGAACUGGGCCAGUUCCAGAUUCUGCAACCGCAUCACUCAGCAUGGAAAAGAGAGGUCGAGUGCAUCUCAGCAACCCUACCAUCCACAGCUUCUCAUUUGCUUUUAUCUCUUUUGUAGGCAAGUUUAGAUUUUGGGGAGCAGAGCUGUGCCUGGAACAGUACUGUCCCUGUUCAAACCCUCCGCAGACUCAAGUGCUGCCUUACCAGUGUCACACCAAACCAGGUGUGACAGGAUGCAGCCUCAUUCGAUAUGGGGAAGGACAGACUGGGGAACUAAACCAGUGCUUUUCAACCAUUUACUGAUUGGAAAUAACAUGUGUCCACAGGCCACAGGUCAAGAUCUACCAAGACCCAGUAUUUUUACAUAAUCUGCAUCUGCUAAAUUUUAAAUAUCAAAUGCACAAAAUUGAGUUUGGUAGAUACAAUAGUAAAAAAAAAAAAAAAAACACAAAAAACCAAACAAACAAACAAACCACCAAAAACUCACCCCCCCAAAAAAACAACAAAAAAAACCCAAAAAACAAAAACAAAAACAAACAAACAAACAAACAAAAAACAAAACAAAAAAACCCCACAAAACACAACAAAAAAACCCCAAAAACAACCCCCCAAAAAAAGGUAGUGAAGUACAUCUGGAAAACUAACCCAUCUAUCUUUACUGGUGAAAGAAGGACAGAAAAUAUAAGAUUUUUUUUCCAUUAUAAAGCUGACUUGAAGCCAUGUUUCCUCAGAAUGACUGAGAAAAAGUCACAGAAAACAGCAGUCUGAGAAUCAAAUGUGAGACCGAACCUCAGAAAAAGAAUGAUCAUAGCAAUUACUUUCUGAAAAUCUGACUCUUUUCCUGCUAGAAACAAAUUCUAAGCACAAAAAGCUGCUGAAACAGAUGAAGGCUAACAGACUCAAGCAGUUGUAUGUGCCCUGGAGUUUAUAAGGAAGGGAACUUCAUAGAGAUUUACAACAUCAGUGAGUAAAAGGAAGGUAACAGAACUGACAUAUUUGGCUUUAAACCAACAUUUGGAAGACUGAAUCACAGGAUUCUGAAUAUAACUAAUUCACAUCUCUUUUGACAUAACAGCACUCACAUAAUUUGAGAACUGGCUUAAGAAUUGUGAAUAAGGAAUAAAAAUAGCAAAUAACUGA
Long non-coding RNA from Vidua chalybeata, 4091 nucleotides. RefSeq lists it as uncharacterized. NCBI's taxonomy places the organism in Eukaryota, Metazoa, Chordata, Aves, Passeriformes, Viduidae. The record is from RefSeq and is a predicted model, not a curated record. The transcript is spliced from 2 exons.